AGAGAGAGAGGAGGAAGCAAGCUCCCUGCCAAACAGAGAGACCGAUGUGGGUCUCGAUCCCAGGACCCUAGGAUCAUGACCUGAGCCGAAGGCAGAGGCUUUAACCCACUGAGCCACUCAGCUGGUGGAUGUUUGCUUUGAGAACCUGCAGCCUCCAGAAGAACUCAAAGCUGAAUAUUGGUGGAGACCAUUCACAAGCUAAAAACAGGAACUCCAAGUUCACAUUGGUUUUCUCCAGUUUGUAAUGUCAGAAUGAUGACUUGUUUGGGGAAUCAUUGACACCAGUGCUCUGCUCUCCAAUUCUAGGCAGCAUGGGGACACACACAAGAAAACAAGACUCUAAUGAGUUAGAAUUUCAGUGAAGGAGAGAAUCCCUACAAAGAGAAGGCGUCUGAUGACUUCCUGACAUGGAUGCUACGAAAAUCCAAUGGAGAAUUUUAUUCAGGAACAAGUCUUUUAACAACGCAGAAAAAUGUUGUUCAACAUCCCCACCUACUGGUAACUCUACAGAAUAAUGUAUUACAAUUACUGAAAGAACUGAAAAUCGCUAGUUUUCCAAGAAAUACAUUACUACUACUAAUGACAAUGAUUAACGUGCACUGAGCACUUAUUUGGUUUGGAGAACUUUUCAGAGCUUUAUGAAAUGAUAAAUCACAGAAUAAUAAAAUAGUUUUUGGAUCGAGUCAGUCUAUCCUAAGGAAGAAAUAAUUUUCAGCAUUAUCACCGGGCAAGAGAACAAAUCAUUGCCCCAGUCCAAAGCAGGAUCUUGGGUCCACGCUGUCUUAAGUGCAGAAGGCUGCCAUGGCCUCCUAAACUGCCCCUCUGCCCUGGGUUUCCCCUCAGGCCUGUCCACUCUGCACUUUGACACAAAUUUUCUCAUGGUGAUCAAACACAAAGAAAGGAUUUAUGUUUUGAAUAAGCUCCCCCCACCAAAAAAAAAAAAAAAAAAAAAUCUGAAAAAAAAUGAGCAGAGACAAUAGUCUUAAAAUGAAGUCUUUCAAUGGAUGGGAUUGGACCUGUGAGAGAAAAGGAUGCAAUGAUGAAGCCCAGAGACAACAGGGCAGGAAGUAUUUGACUUGUAAAUUUGAUUUGACAAAAUGUGUGAUGAUGUCAAAGCAGAUUCCCUACCCUGAUUAGAUAAAGUUCUCGUAGGCUAGGCUGAGGGAAGCCGAAGAUGGGGCAAGUUUGUGAUCUAGACAAUGAGAUCCUAAACCUGAGCUUGAAGCUGGUAUUACAAGUAUUUAGGGAAGGAAGGAGUGUGGUUUUUUGUUGUUGUUGUUGGUUUUUUUAAUAAGUGGAGGAUUGAUUCUUCUCCUACCCACUUAAGCCCCCAUGUUGCAUCAUAAAUGAAACAAGAUGGGAUUGGGAGGGAGACAAACCAUAAAUGACUCUUAAUCUCACAAAACAAACUGAGGGUUGCUGGGGGGAGGGGGUUUGGGAGAAGGGGGUGGGAUUAUGGACAUUGGGGAGGGUAUGUGCUUUGGUGAGUGCUGUGAAGUGUGUAAACCUGGUGAUUCACAGACCUGUACCCCUGGGGAUAAAAAUAUAUGUUUAUAAAAAAUAAAAAAUUAAAAAAAAAUAAGUGGAGGAUUGUAAGUUAUUUGUGGUCAGAGAAUAGACUAUAGAGAUUGUCAUAAAUCCUUUGACACU
Mustela lutreola (European mink) is the source of this 1650-nucleotide long non-coding RNA. RefSeq lists it as uncharacterized. The transcript has 4 exons. The record is from RefSeq and is a predicted model, not a curated record. NCBI's taxonomy places the organism in Eukaryota, Metazoa, Chordata, Mammalia, Carnivora, Mustelidae.